UACGUAGGGGGCUAGCGUUGUCCGGAAUCAUUGGGCGUAAAGAGCGUGUAGGCGGCUCGGUAAGUCCGCUGUGAAAGUCCAGGGCUCAACCCUGGAAUGCCGGUGGAAACUGUCGAGCUCGAGUCCGGAAGAGGCGAGUGGAAUUCCUGGUGUAGCGGUGAAAUGCGCAGAUAUCAGGAGGAACACCAAUGGCGAAGGCAGCUCGCUGGGACGGUACUGACGCUGAGACGCGAAAGCGUGGGGAGCAAACAGG
RNAcentral lists this ribosomal RNA (253 nucleotides) under uncultured bacterium. Its description in RNAcentral is "partial 16S ribosomal RNA". It matches the Rfam family "Bacterial small subunit ribosomal RNA", at positions 524 to 776 of the family's 1533-position model. The record is from RNAcentral.